This 2253-nucleotide long non-coding RNA is filed under the name Homo sapiens (human). Its description in RNAcentral is "HSALNT0406126". The record is from RNAcentral. Lineage: Eukaryota; Metazoa; Chordata; Mammalia; Primates; Hominidae.
UCAAAAUGCUGGGAUUACAAGCGUGAGCCACCUUGCCUGACAGAACACAUACAUUUUUAAUAGUUUAAAGAAAGGACUGUUUGAUACUAUAUUACAAUGCAAAAAGAAAAGAAAGAAAAUAAGAAUAUCAAAUUCUACAGACCUGAACCCCAUGGUUGUGCCUACUACUAACCAGAAUAAAAGAAAUAAGCAAUCUGAAAAACUGCUUUAGCAACUGUUCGAUUCAGAAUAGUUCUGUAAUUAAGUUCCAUAUUUACAGAAUUAUUAAGGGCUUAAAGAGAUCACUUAAAAUUUACACAUAUAUCUAUACACAUACACACACACACACUUUACCAAAUAUUUUUAUUGGGUAAAUUAUAUAGUGCUAUUUGUUAAUUUAGGGGAUUUCAAAAGUUUCAGGAUACAUCCUUUAAAACACCAAUAUUAAACUAUACUAUAGAAUAAAAUCCUUCCAUCAAGGCCAUGAGGCAGGGAGUGAGGAAGAACACACAAAACAAGAGGGGCAGAAUGUUGAUAAUGUUGAAGCUGGUUAUUAGGUAUUUAGAAAUUCAUUAUGCUAUUAUCUCUACAUUUGUAUAUGUUUGAUAACAUUCUCCUAGUAUUUUUUAAAAAAUAAGAUUCUUCCACAGAAUGAUGGGAAGACUCAGUGAGACACAGCAAGGUUUCCUUAACCUUGAGAUUAGAAAAUAGACCAGAAGUCAUAUACAAGCACUGACAAAAGACUAAUUUGGCAUAAAAUAUACACAUUGGAUUUAUUUCUCUAACAAACACACUACUCUCUAUUCAUUUUGAAAGAGCCCACAGGAUAAAAUCUCGUAAACUAUGAUAAUCUAGAGACAAGACCCAAAAAUGUUGAGGUAUAGCCAUCAUAAUUAAGUCCCCUUUACCAAUUCCUGAAUACUCCUGUAAUUGUAUUUACUGUAAAACCUGAAUCACUUUUUAGAGUUGUAAUUUAUAACUCUACUGAGUCUAAGUUCAUACUUUCUUUUUUUAUCAAAGGAUCAGUAACUCCAGUUUCUGGGCUGCUGAUUCACAUAUGAUCAACAGCAGCCAGAACAAAAACAGCAUGGGGGCAGGGUCAUCUCCCACAACCCAUCUGUUUCCCUCUUUUGCUGGCCUGAUUAUGCAUCUUUUCUCCACCCUACCCGCUUUAGGGCUGCAUGCCUUCUGCCUGUACAGAACAACAUACGUACCUAGAAACAACAGCAUGAAAUGUGUUAGAAGAAUGGAAGAACGUAGACAGCUACUGACAACUCUAAAACAUGAGCACUAGCACAAUUCUUUAUCAUGACCCAUGACAAAAAGGUGGUUCUAUGCGACCAAAUGUAAACCUAAUCUUGAAAACUCUUACUGUCUCAGCAGGUACUGCCCUACGUCCUACUGUAGAAGAUGAGGAAAACAGCCAGGCAUGGUGAUGCAUGCCUGUAGUCCCAGCUACUCGGGAGGCUGAGGUAGGAGGACUGCUUGAAUCUGGGAGAUAGAGGUUGCAGUGAGUCAAGACUGUGCCACUGUACUACAGCCUGGAUGAUGGAGUGAAACUAUGUCUAAAAAAAAAAAAAAAAAAGUUACUGUAUAGAAGAUGAGGAAAACAUCAAGUCUUGGCUAAUUAACUGCCCUUGCCUCUGUCUCUACCACACCCAUUAUCUUCAGACACCUUAAAAACUACCAGGCUUUAGAGAUGGCAAAUAAUAGGGCUUCCUAUUCCUUCUUCAUCUUGGAAAUCAUCUAAAAACGAGGAGUACAAGCAACAGAAAAAUAUAACAAAACAAUGGAAAGCACAUGGAAGAGUAAUGUGGCAGAUUAAAGAUGGUUGCAAAUUACCUGACACUUCCUUCCCAUUAAUGGUGGGGUUUAUUUCCUUUGACCUUGAAUCUGAGCUGGCCUCUGCCUUGACCAAUCGAGAACAGUGAAAGUGAUGGUAUGCCAGUUCAGGGUCUAGACUUUAAGAGGACUGGCAGCUUCUACUUUGGUCUCUUGGAGCCCUGUGCCCCCAUGUAAGAAGUCCAACUACCCUGAUGGACAGAUCCUAAAAAGAGGUCUCAUCAGGUGGAUCACGAGGUCAGGAGCUCGAGACCAUCCUAGCUAACAAGGUAAAACCUCAACUCUACAAAAAAUACAAAAAAAUUAGCCGGACGUGGUGGUGGGCACCUGUAGUCCCAGCUACUCAGGAGGCUGAGGCCGGAGAACGGCGUGAACCCGGGAGGCGGAGCUUCCAGUGAGCCGAGAUCGUGCCACUGCACUCCAGCCUGGGCG